Molecule: long non-coding RNA, 493 nt
Organism: Vicia villosa (hairy vetch)
Lineage: Eukaryota; Viridiplantae; Streptophyta; Magnoliopsida; Fabales; Fabaceae
Exons: 4
Source: RefSeq, a predicted model, not a curated record
AGAUAUGUUCUUAUUCUUCAGAUCUGGGGUUUUGACUGGUUUUGUUAUUAUUGUAGUCGAACUUUUGAAAUUGAAGAUGAAAAUGGAAUCCAUGUGAUUCUUCAAAUGGAUGAUAUAGAACUAUUUCAAGAUGUCAUUCCUUAGAGAUUCUUCAAAAGGUUUGGUUGUGUUGCCUCGCAACGAAAGAUGAAUGGUGUGGGAAUCGGUUUUACGGUUUGGAGCGGGCGCAAAAAGAGGCUUUGAAGAGAUAGGAUGAUUGCAGUUCGAGGAUCUUCCGUCUUCCUUUUCUUUCUGUUUAUAUUGUGUUUCAAGUAUGGUUCAUUUACAACAAGUUUCAUCACAACCAUCGGGUAAUUGGUUUUGUAUGAACUUACUUAUUUUAAGUCUUCUUUGUUCUUCUUUGACGUUCCUCCGGCGUAUGUAACUGAAAUACAUGCUUCUUUAGCUUAUGGUAAUGGAUCUGAAAAUCUAGAAGAGAAUAUAAAGGGCUCAC